CAGCUGAACAUCUGAAGGGCAACAAGGAACUACACUACCUGCUGUUGUGAUAACAAGGACUUUGGACAAGGAGGCCCUGUUCCAAGGUCUGGGUCAGGGUUAGAGACGAGCUCUCAUGUGCAACCUGAACAUGUUGACUUUCUUGGCUCUCAGAUCCCCAAAUCUGAUGCUCUGCGAAAAGCUGGAAGUGCUACUGCCUUGACAGUGGCCCUGAGCUCAGUCUGGCACUUUCUGAGAAGACUCCUGGUUUAUAAAAGAAAAGAAAUGAUGAGCUGGAAGGGCCUGCAGCCUCAUAACUUAGAGCUAACCACAUCGCCUGUUGCUCUGACUUGGCACCAUGAGAGACAGGGAGGGGUGCAUGGUUCCUUUCCAGGUUGCCCCAUGCCCGCCCUUCUGCGUAGAGGAAGUCACAAAUGGGGCCAAGAAAUAAAAGGAGAAUUGAACUUGAGAAGGAAAGCACAGGGGGCUUCAUCCAACCCAGAAGUCAUAAAGAUACAGCAGAAAAGAUAGGUAACGCAUGGAGGAUGUUCCCGUAGUUGUUGGCCAGGAUUUCAUUUCUGAAUCAUUUCUUAACACUUGGCAAAGAGGCUUAAGUGUUUCAAACUUCUGUGGCUGAGGAACUGGAAGUAUCUGUAAACAACAAUGGGUUUUAACCUUUUAAUACUAUCAUCACUUUCACUUAAAAAUAUUUGAUGUUUCACAGGAAUGCUCUAUUAGGUUGAAGUGUAUAUUCGUUUCUCAAGUCACCUAACCAAGCAGAUUUCGGGAAGUGGCAGGACUUUCUUUAAAUCCUUAAUAUCCUUGGUAUUUGGAAUCCCUUAAUACAGUGCUUAUAGGUGAUCAGACUUUGUAUUUUCCGAUACUCUCUUGUGAGCGGUGAAACGUUCAUAGAUACUUGCUGAAUGUUAGCUCCGUGCUAACUGGGCUAGGCCCUGGGCAGGAAACAAAGAAGUCCAUGAGAGAGCCCAUGAGUCAUCCACUUAGCUGCACAGAACAUAAUCUCAUGCUAAUUAUUGGGCUACAUUUCUUAGACCUAUUUAAAACUCAUUAAAUAAAUGUUCAUAGGCACUUGAUGGUUACUGUGCAGCUGAAAUGAUAAUGCAGAUCUAAUAGAUAUAGGUAACAGUUUGUUUCCUAGGACUGCUGUAAUAAAGUGCUUGUCACAAACUUUGGUGGUCUAAAACAAGAAACAUUUGUUCUCUUACAGUUAUAGAGGCCAGAAGUUCAAAAUCAAGGUGUCAGCAGGGUCACAUUGUCUCUGAAGGAGGAGGAUCCUUCCUUGGCUCUUCCCAGCUUCUGGUGGCUGCUGGCAGCCCUGGUAUUCCUUGGCUUAUGGGUACAUCACUCCAGUGUUUCCUUCCAUCAUCACAGGGCAUUCUCCCUGAGUGUCUAUGUGCCUGCACCCAACUUUCUCCCUUCUUAUAAAAACACCAGUCAUUAGAUUAAGGCCCACCCUAAUCCAGUAUGGCCUCAUCUCAACUUGAUGACAUCUACAAAGACUGUAUUUUCAAAUAAGGUCACAUUUAUAGGUACUGAGGGUUAGGAUGGGAAUGUACCUUUUUGAGAGACACAAUUCAAACCAGCACACUGCCCAUGUUUUUAAAUAUAAGUUGUCAGAAAAAUAAAAAUAAUAAAAAAUUGUCAGGCUGUUGAAACACAGCUGCAAGUUCUUCGGCACCCUUU
This is a long non-coding RNA of Hipposideros armiger (great roundleaf bat), 1683 nucleotides long. RefSeq lists it as uncharacterized. NCBI's taxonomy places the organism in Eukaryota, Metazoa, Chordata, Mammalia, Chiroptera, Hipposideridae. The record is from RefSeq and is a predicted model, not a curated record. The transcript has 3 exons.